CCUACGGGAGGCAGCAGUGGGGAAUCUUGCGCAAUGGGCGGAAGCCUGACGCAGCAACGCCGCGUGCGGGAAGAAGGCCUUAGGGUCGUAAACCGCUUUCAGGGGGGACGAAGCUUCCGGGGUUAAUAGCCUACGGGGUGACGGUACUCCCAAAAGAAGGUCCGGCUAACUACGUGCCAGCAGCCGCGGUAAUACGUAGGGACCGAGCGUUGUCCGGAAUCAUUGGGCGUAAAGAGCGUGUAGGCGGCCUAGUAGGUCUCGUGUGAAAUCCCGUGGCUCAACCACGGACACGCACGGGAAACCCCUAGGCUCGAGUCCGGAAGAGGAGAGCGGAAUUCCUGGUGUAGCGGUGAAAUGCGCAGAUAUCAGGAAGAACACCCGUAGCGAAGGCGGCUCUCUGGGACGGUACUGACGCUGAGACGCGAAAGCGUGGGGAGCAAACAGGAUUAGAUACCCUGGUAGUCCACGCCGUAAACGAUGGAUGCUAGGUGUGGGAGGUGUCGACUCCUCCCGUGCCGAAGCUAACGCAUUAAGCAUCCCGCCUGGGGAGUACGGCCGCAAGGCAAAACGUCAAAGGAAUUGACGGCUGAGACGNGCGAGCGACGACGAGGAGAG
Molecule: ribosomal RNA, 615 nt
Filed under: uncultured bacterium
Lineage: Bacteria
Description: bacterial SSU rRNA
Rfam family: Bacterial small subunit ribosomal RNA
Source: RNAcentral